This 472-nucleotide ribosomal RNA is filed under the name uncultured bacterium. RNAcentral describes it as "bacterial SSU rRNA". It matches the Rfam family "Bacterial small subunit ribosomal RNA", at positions 329 to 792 of the family's 1533-position model. The record is from RNAcentral.
UGCCAGACUCCUACGGGAGGCAGCAGUAGGGAAUUUUCGUCAAUGGGCGCAAGCCUGAACGAGCAAUGCCGCGUGAACGAGGAAGGUCUUCGGAUCGUAAAGCUCUGUUGACGGGGAAAAAAGACCGGGAAAGGAAAUGAUCCCGGAGGAGAUAUUACCCGUCGAGGAAGUCACGGCUAACUACGUGCCAGCAGCCGCGGUAAUACGGAGGGUGCGAGCGUUAAUCGGAAUCACUGGGCGUAAAGCGCGCGUAGGCGGCUUUUCAAGUCAGGGGUGAAAUCCCACGGCCCAACCGUGGAACUGCCUUUGAAACUGUAGAGCUUGAGUGUCGGAGAGGGUGGCGGAAUUCCAGGUGUAGGAGUGAAAUCCGUAGAUAUCUGGAGGAACACCGGUGGCGAAGGCGGCCACCUGGACGACAACUGACGCUGAGGUGCGAAAGCGUGGGUAGCAAACAGGAUUAGAUACCCGCGUA